This 165-nucleotide ribosomal RNA is filed under the name uncultured bacterium. Its description in RNAcentral is "partial 16S rRNA". It matches the Rfam family "Bacterial small subunit ribosomal RNA", at positions 355 to 511 of the family's 1533-position model. The record is from RNAcentral.
UAGGGAAUCUUCCACAAUGGACGCAAGUCUGAUGGAGCAACGCCGCGUGAGUGAAGAAGGUCUUCGGAUCGUAAAACUCUGUUGUUAGAGAAGAACACGAGUGAGAGUGGAAAGUUCACACAGUGACGGUAACUUACCAGAAAGGGACGGCUAACUACGUGCCAG